RNAcentral lists this ribosomal RNA (598 nucleotides) under Vigna unguiculata (cowpea). The record is from RNAcentral. Lineage: Eukaryota; Viridiplantae; Streptophyta; Magnoliopsida; Fabales; Fabaceae.
UUUGGUGACGUGUAGUACUAGGAUGGGUGACCUCCUGGGAAGUCCUCGUGUUGCACCUCUUUUUUACGUUUUUUUCUUUUUUUUUACGCCAUUUUCAUCACCGUUUUUUGCAAUUAAAUCCAAUAGUACCACCUAAAUGACUCAAACUACUGUUACCAAAAUUUAUUCGGACACAAACAACCCACUUCACGUCCCCGGGCCCCGCGCCUCACCAAGUUUUCAAACUUAGGCCCAAUGCGAAACCCAUAUAUACAUUGAUCGUGCAAUACUUGACAGGUGCGAUCAUACCAGCACUAAUGCACCGGAUCCCAUCAGAACUCCGUAGUUAAGCGUGCUUGGGCGAGAGUAGUACUAGGAUGGGUGACCUCCUGGGAAGUCCUCGUGUUGCACCUCUUUUUUACGUUUUUUUCUUUUUUUUUUACGCCAUUUUCAUCACCGUUUUUUGCAAUUAAAUCCAAUAGUACCACCUAAAUGACUCAAACUACUGUUACCAAAAUUUAUUCGGACACAAACAACCCACUUCACGUCCCAAACCCGGCUUGGGGGGAUGUAUAGACGUCUCCGAAGGUAUACACAUCCCCAAAACCGGGUACCGAGC